ACUGAAAAAAAGUUUUUAAAAGCGUAUGCAUGUUUAAAAAUGUUAAAUAGUUAAACAACACUUGCGGUGAAAAUAUGAAGUGUUUAUUCUGAGUUGAAAAGACCGUACUUAUAUCUAGUAUUCUUAAUGUAAUUUAAAUAAUGUCUUCCUUUACUAACUGCAUGUGACUUUGCUCUACUUAUAUUGUUUAAUACGUACUGAUGAAUUCAGCAGCGAAUUGGCUAAUGCUGCUAAUGCUUUUUACAUUUUUUCCCCCUCAAUGAACAGUCUUCUUUGUGUAGUUUUCAUUAUAUUGCACUCUUAUUUUUCAUUAUGUACAUGCCUGCAAUUCGCAGCUCGCUGUUUUUGUUGUUGUAUGGUAUUGUUGUUUUACCUUCAUUUGUUUUGUCUGGUCCUUUGUAGUUUGAAUGUUGUCACAUGAUCCAAAUAGGACAAGCUCCUUGAUCACCACCCCAUUGGGAAGAAACUAAAUCACGACCCCCAAAUGGUAGUCUUCCCAUGCAGAUACAGGGAUGUCACAGAGAUCCAAAUGGAAACAUCGAACACUGUAAAACCCACUGUGCAGACAGGACCAAUGGUGACAAUAUAAGACCAUGCCGAGCUUCGUGGACGGUUCAAACUCAUCCUGCCCAGGAACGGCUGAUAUGAAAUGCAUAUUUAUAACUUGUCUAACAAGUAGCUCAUUCAAAGAUAUAAAAAAGUAUUUUUUGGCGUGUGUAGGGUAUUUUAACUAUGUAGCCUACAGAAUGCUUGUAUGGGCUCAUGUAGGUGUCUGCGUACGUUUGUAUUUAUAUAACAUAUGUCCGUGUGUAUAGAUUAUGUAUUUUUCAGGGAAGGACCAUAUUUGUGGCUGACCCCUAUGUUGUUGCAACAUGGUGAAAGCCUACAGGAUGUGACCCACACAUGCAUUUGCCUGUAAGGCUGAUUAGUAACAACUACAACUUGGAGCAUUGGUUCAUUUUCAAAGAACAGUCAAAUCAUAACAAAUUAAAUGAUCCAAAUUCCAAUUAUUUGUGGGAAGAAAAACAGAUCCAAUCAUGAGAUCAGGGAACUAUUGUUAUCUCUAAUGAAAUUCAGUAUCCAUUCAUAUUGGCAUGGCGUUUCCAUGAUGAUCCAGAAUAGCCUUGUUUGGUUUUGAAGGUAUGUUCCAGUCGAUCCUUUUAUGUUGCCCCUUCAAUUAAAGCAGAAUUGCACUCCAGAUGAUUCAUCCAAUCAUUUGAAGCAAAUUUCUAAAAUGCCACUCUAAAAUUGCGAAUGUUUUGUUUCAAGGGCGUUGGCCCGGUCUCAACAUUGGUAGGGACGAAUAUAAUGCAAGUAAGGUUGCUCAAAAGUUGGUGGGGACAACUUUAGCAUCCUGAAAAGUUGGUCGUGUUAUGUCCCUACCGUCCCUAUGCAAACCUACGCCCUUGUUUUGUUUGCAUGAAUCAUUUAAACCUGACUGGUUGGUGUUCUUAUGCAUGGAAACACGUUUGUAAUUGUUUAACUACUGUAUUUAAUAUGAACCUAUAUUUUCAAUUGCAGAAAACGUUGACAGUCAAUCAACAGGGGGACAUGGAAAGAGAGAAUUGGAAGUGAAAUAGAGGGUUUUCCGGGAUAGCCAUAGGGGAAGGACUGUGGCAUCUUCAUGUUGAUGACUGAUAUGCCAACUCUGAGGAAGUGGUGGUGUAUAUUGAUAGCGGACAAUUUCAAACUUGGGUGCAUGCCACAGGAAAGAGUUUGCCCAUUGGACAGAUGAGGCAAAAGCAUUACUGCAGGGUGAAGUGCCACCAGUCUAUCAGUUACAGAAGUGAAAUUUGAAUAUAAUUGCUGAGGAAGAGGUGCAACCACAGCUCCUUCAAGUUAGUGGUGGCCCACUCCAAAAAGAUAUGGCGGGAAAAAAUGUUUUGGUAAAAGGAUUGUGCAAGACAGCACAAAAGCCUCGGACAGGGCUAGGGGGAAAAAAAAAAAAUCAAUGCAGUAGGAGUUCCCAAGCAUCCUGCAGAUGGAAGAGGAUGAGCACGAACUACAAUGUCUUGGAGCCAUUCAAGUUCUGUUUCAACCAUCUGGAAGAUGGAUUUACCUUUUUUGAGGAGAUUGUUGACUAAAGAAAAUAUCUAUUCUCUCAAUAAUAAUAAAAAAUAAUAAAACUAAAAAAAUAAAGUUUACCACAUCAGAACUGGUUGUAUUGAGUUCAU
Molecule: long non-coding RNA, 2174 nt
Organism: Corythoichthys intestinalis (scribbled pipefish)
Lineage: Eukaryota; Metazoa; Chordata; Actinopteri; Syngnathiformes; Syngnathidae
Exons: 9
Source: RefSeq, a predicted model, not a curated record